AUGAAGACUCUGCUGCAAGUCCUCAUGGGGAUACUGGAGCUGCAGGCAGCCUGGAUCAGCAGCCAAAAACUGGAGCAGAGUUCACAGUCCCUGAACAUCCAAUUCAUCCCAGAGGGAAAAAAAUUCACCAUAAACUGCAAUUCAUCAAAGACUGUCUAUGCCUUCCACCAGUACAGGCAGAAGUAUAGCGAAGGCCCCAUCUCCUUGUUGAUAACGUUAUGGAAAAGCAGGGAAGAAAAGAGUCAUGAAAAAAUGACUGCCAAGUUGGACGAGAAAAAGCAGCGAAGUGCCCUGCACAUCACAGCCCUUCUGACCAGCCACUCAGGCAUCUACUUCUGUGGCGCCCAUGCACAGCGAUCUCCAGGCCUCUGCAGGCUGUCCCCAAAUGUGCAGCUAGGCCACAGAUCUCUCCUGACACAGGGCUCCUGGCGGGUGUGGCUGGGACACUUGCCAAGAGAAGCCUAA
Myotis myotis is the source of this 465-nucleotide non-coding RNA. The record is from the annotation of a RefSeq genome assembly. Lineage: Eukaryota; Metazoa; Chordata; Mammalia; Chiroptera; Vespertilionidae.